Molecule: ribosomal RNA, 291 nt
Filed under: Triticum aestivum (bread wheat)
Lineage: Eukaryota; Viridiplantae; Streptophyta; Magnoliopsida; Poales; Poaceae
Description: partial small subunit ribosomal RNA
Source: RNAcentral
AUGGACCGAGUCGGCAGCGGCGAGAAGCACCUCGAGGACUGCACCGUCGCCAAUGCCCUCGGAACUUGGGUCUUCUCUGUUGCUGGUGCUCUCCUUGCCAUUCCUGUGGGCAUAAAGAGGAAGUCCUUCGCUCCGCUGGUGUUCUUCGGCACUACUGGAACUAUGCUUGACAUCAUCAUGGGCAUUAGCCAGUGUGAGAGGGAGCAUGCUGAGCGGCAGAUGAAGCUUUUAGAAGCGCAAAACCUUGCAAUGAAUGCUUCAGUAGAUGGUGAAAGCUUGACUGAUAAGUGA